Molecule: ribosomal RNA, 253 nt
Filed under: uncultured bacterium
Lineage: Bacteria
Description: partial 16S ribosomal RNA
Rfam family: Bacterial small subunit ribosomal RNA
Source: RNAcentral
UACAGAGGUCUCAACCGUUGUUCGGAUUCAUUGGGCGUAAAGGGUGCGUAGGCGGUCGCGCAAGUCGGAUGUGAAAUCUCAGGGCUCAACCCUGAAACUGCAUUCGAUACUGCGUGGCUAGAGGGUCGGAGGGGAGACUGGAAUUCUCGGUGUAGCAGUGAAAUGCGUAGAUAUCGAGAGGAACACCAGUGGCGAAGGCGAGUCUCUGGACGACUCCUGACACUGAGGCACGAAAGCUAGGGGAGCAAACAGG